RNAcentral lists this ribosomal RNA (488 nucleotides) under uncultured bacterium. RNAcentral describes it as "bacterial SSU rRNA". It matches the Rfam family "Bacterial small subunit ribosomal RNA", at positions 19 to 518 of the family's 1533-position model. The record is from RNAcentral.
UUGGUUCAGGACGAACGCUGGCGGCGUGCCUAACACAUGCAAGUCGAACGGAGUUAAUGAUUUCGGUUGUUAACUUAGUGGCGAACGGGUGAGUAACGCGUGAACAACCUGACCCAAAGAGGGGGAUAACAUUUGGAAACAGAUGCUAAUACCGCAUAAGACCACAACGUCACAUGGCGAAGGGGUCAAAGGAGCAAUCCGCUUUGGGAGGGGUUCGCGUCCCAUUAGGUAGUAGGCGGGGUAACAGCCCACCUAGCCAACGAUGGGUAGCCGAGCUGAGAGGCUGAUCGGCCACACUGGAACUGAGACACGGUCCAGACUCCUACGGGAGGCAGCAGUGGGGAAUAUUGGGCAAUGGGCGCAAGCCUGACCCAAGCAACGCCGCGUGAGGGAAGAAGGUUUUCGGAUUGUAAACCUCUGUCGCAGAAGACGAAGGAAGUGACGGUAUUCUGUGAGGAAGCCCCGGCUAACUACGUGCCAGCAGCAGC